Molecule: long non-coding RNA, 4357 nt
Filed under: Haliotis rubra (blacklip abalone)
Lineage: Eukaryota; Metazoa; Mollusca; Gastropoda; Lepetellida; Haliotidae
Description: uncharacterized LOC124264040, transcript variant X2
Source: RNAcentral
UUCCGUCUGUGUUAGCACUGUCGGUUUCGCUCUCGCCUUCGAAGCAAAUCCAUACCAUCGAGUAGAUCCAAGUACUACAAUCAAUGCCAUUCCGGUCUUUAAUAGAAUCAACAUUAGUCAAUCUAUACAGAAUCUCCAGCCACUUAUCGCGGAUUUGGCAACUACAAUAACAUCAGCAAUUGUGUAUUUAAUUAGGGGACCGACAAGAGAGCUCAUCACGUCUACCUACGGCAGAUAAUGCCAUAACGCCGGGACGAUUCAUCCCUUUUACUGACCUUUCACAAGCGUAAUUCUGACAUUCAAUUGUCGGCGGAUGACCAAGAGAGUUUUUGUUCCAAGUCCCUCUGUGCCUGCUCCUGUCUUUCUUUCUGCCUGGUUUUAUGCCUAAAUAAUCUGGUCAAACACCCAACUCGAAAGACUGAUUCUCUGAAGAUCGAUAAAGGUUUUGCCAGAAGGAAAAAAUCGAGUUUCCUCUUCAAAUUCCAUUUGUUGUGAGUAUGACUUUGUACCCAGAGGUAGCGAAAGCCAGCCGGCGACGUAUGGUUCCUGUACGGUUUCCAACAAUCCUUGCUCUCGUUCAACUGGAUUAAAGUUUAAUCUCGUCACGUGCACAGACAGAUGAUGCAAAGUGAAAUAUGGGAAGCGAUCCCAGGUGACAGAGGAGGUUGUGUGAAACAUUGAUCUGUACAGCAAGCCCAAGCAUGGAUCUCAAGAAGCGCUGUUUCAUGAACGUCGGCAGAUUAGCAUUUGAGAAGAGAUUGCCAUUUAGCCCAGGAAUCCUCGAAACGGGAAACAUCCUCUGCCCUGGUUGCUGCUCGCCAUACUGCCAGUAGAAGCCAGGCAAUCAAUGGUUGAGCGCGUCAUCUGACGGGAUCUCAAACACAGCUCUGACAGGCUCGGCAGACUCCGCUAUGUACUGUGGCCAUCUACAACAUAUACAGAGAGAUUGUAGCUUGACGUAUACCGUCACCACCAGACCCGCGCAGAACGAAUACACUUGUCACAUCCUGCCUUGAUUGAGUGACUGACUGCGGCGCGAGCACCAAGCAACUCACAUAUCGACAUCCCUGUGAAUCAAGUGCUGUACUGAAAUCGGGAUAUUUAUUUCGAUACCUGGUGUGUUAUGUUUGAGACUCCGAAGAAAACAUACAACAGGAUGUCUUAGAAGAAUGAUGGGGAUCACCCUGUACAAUUGUAGACAAUCCCAGAGUUCUCAAUGCACCUGUGUCGUUGCCAGUUCUGUUGAUAUGCACUCUAUCUAUUAUAUCAUUCAUGAUCAGUGAAGCAAAGCAUGCCUUUAUUGAACACCGCGACGAAUCCCCAAAGGUAUGUCUUCCUCUACAAAGGAAUACAUGGAUGAUUCACUUACCGUUACCAGCGCAAACAAAUAACACGUUUACCAACCUGGCAGUCGUACCAAGGUAAGAUAUAGACCCGCUUUAUCACGCAACUCUACUAGUGUGACCGUCGGAAUUAAGGCCAACCUGUGUCAAAGAAGACGUAUUUUCUGUCGUUCUAUACUAUGUUGUGAGACUCGGACCUGGUAUUGAUCGUGUUGUGUCAACGUGUUUCGGGGCUCUAGUGAUCACCAGUAUGGAUUCCAAACACUGCUGGUUAGAUAGAAUACCAUAGUGCAGUUGGCAGCAGAAUCCUGCGUGGUUAUCCGUUAUGGUUGCAGAGGUGUAGUGGACACCCAGUUCUUGAAGGCAUUCUACGAUAUAGAUUCGUCUUUUAGGGGCAUCGUCUCAGUUCAGCAAAAUAAAUGGGAUUACCUAUUUCGACUACAUGUGAAAUUCAAAUCAUAAAGCAGGAUAUUGGACCGUCUUAGAUGUAAAUGUACGUGUGUGUUGAACUAUGAUUCACAUACGUGACCUCCACAUGCAUGUCAAACGACAGCCCAUCUCUGCUUUGGAACGUGACUAUAACAUAGUACACACAAGGCUGAGACAGUAAUUUGAAGAAGGUCUUGAUUACUAGAGCAAAUCCAUCCUUGAAUCAGGAAGCAAGGGUUAAUUUCAUCUUCAGGAUUACUACAGAAAACGGAGUUAUUACAUUAAGAUGCUGCGCUGGAGAAGGAAACGUGACGAUAUUGAUAGUACAAUGACAAGAAACAGUAAAACGAAGUGUGGACGGGAGAAGGGAUUGUGGAUUCAUCUCGACCUUUUCCUUGUGCGCUGAAAUGCCAAUGUGCUCAUUUAAGUGUGUUUAACAGCUUAAGCCCGCUAAUUCGUAUUCAGCUGGAGAUUUCUAUUUCAGUUUUUGUGGUUCUGUCACGUGUGUUAUUAGCUCUUGUGCGAGUUAUCUUGCGUUCGUGAAUCGUUUUAACGACAAAGACCAUCAGGAUGAUGGACCAAGAGGACAAGGUGGAGAUGGAAGAACCAUCAUCCAUCACACGCUACCAUCAUCUAAUAAUCAGAAACAAACACAUCCUCUCUGAAAUCAAACUAUCUGUCGUCAUCGUCAUCGGCAGUAUAGUCAUUAUCGCGUGUUUGGUGUAUAUUGUUAUACAGUGUAGGACAAAAGGCAACCCUAAUCGUACCAUGAAAAAUAGACGAGCUGAUGACGAGGAAGAACUGUUCGAUUCUUCCGACACCACCGAGCAGCUUCUUCCACAACCGCCAGAUAACGCCAUUAGACUGAAGGUUCGACGUGAACCGGAGUUCUAUGUGUGAAUGCAGCAGCGUGUUUCGAAGGUGUAGAUAUUUCAGGGUAUUUGCUGAGAAACUGCAAUUUAUGUGUGCAUUCCUAUGGAAGGUGAUGCAAGGAUCUUUUUGGAGUGAGUACUGGUGUUCACUCUGUGGAUCACUGGUGUUCAUUCUUUGUGUACAGCGUUCACUGGAGCCUGUAAAGAUGGAGAGGAUAUUUAACACAUCUGUGAAUUAAAUACUUGGGAAUAUGACAGGAGAGUGCUUUCCCAGCUUGAAUUUGCAACGUCUUUCUUGCAACACAAUUGCAUAAGAGAUGAAUUACAUAGCCAUUUAAGAUAAUGUACCAAGUCACUUAGUCACAAUGGGUAUUUUAGCUUUGGGUAGAAACAUGCGGAUGGUAAAUGCGUGAUUCAGUGAUUAUUUGUAAGCAUGGCCAGUUUUUGCACUUUUGGAAAUCCUUUUACUUUUCCCUUAUAACUUGCUAUUACUGAUGCUUGAUCAUUGUUUAUACGUUCUACUUCGUUUCGAAUAUGAUGCAUACCGUUUACUUGAAACAGCCUUGUUUUUAUGACUACUUCUAAAAACACCAAUUUUGUUUUAUUACAGGUGUCGACUUACUUUUAGUAGUAUCUCAUUUAAGCAUGAUCAAAUAAAGGUUAAAUUUUAAAUUAAAUAUGGUGACAUUUAUAUAAAGUAGAGCUCAAAAUACGUAUUAGAAAAUGACCUUUUCAACGUAUACCAGUUACCGCCCAGCAAAACCUGCUUCAGCACCAAAACCACUGCCAGAAAUAUAUACUAAUUUUGUUUGCAAGGUUAAAUUGAGGGAAGGUGCAUGAUGGUUCGAUUACCUCUGUAGAUAUUGAGGCUGGUUAUCGUUGAGUGUAACAUUCGUCUCUUACAAACCGUUAUGAGUUUUGAGUUGAGCUGUGUUAUAUCAUCGAUAGCAUACCUCAUCAUUCAAACCACAUGAGGCUUAAGCCAGUUUUACUAUGACCAUACAAAAGAAAAGAAAUCGUUGGUGAGAUUAGCAGUUGUUAGUGAAAAGGUAUACAGGUUUCAUGUCACAAAAACUGAUGUUUUCAGUUGGUUGCGGUGCGAUAUAAGGGUUAUCAACAAAACACCUUUCUACAAAAUGUUAUGCUUGGUAAAAACUAGUCAGAGAUAUACUCGUUUCCAGUUUGCAACUACCAAUGACAAAAAGACACAUGGCAUGCUUUUGAAGCCGAAACGACCACAGUUGAAGUGUAGAAAUACCGUUGACCUAACAGUAACGCAGGAUGUGCAAGUCACAUUUCAGUAUCUGUUCUGCUCUACCCAGUACAAAACGUUAAGGAAUCAUUGUUAAUAAUCAGAAAUGCGCCACACACGACAUAACAUCAGUCUAUUGCUUCCCACUGGUAAGCAAAAGAAAGAAGUGAUUACUCAUAGAUACUACUUUAUCGGUGAUGUGGUCCAAAGAAUACUGACUGUGUCGACGUCGGUUAAAUACCCCCUGUCAGAGAUUAGUAUGGAGUUUUCCCCAAAUUUGGUCUUAUAACCAAUGUAUCACGUUACAUUAUAGCUUACUGAAUCAGGUCAAAACAGAAGCACUUGAAACUACGGCCACUGUUUAGUGUUUUGUGAUCAAAACGUGGGAGCGCCGUAUUUGCUAUGUUAGCGGAACGCAAAGGCACACGUGAUUUUAUUUAAAUGUCUGCGAAAUAUCUUCA